CCGAGACCAUACAGGCUUAUACGGUUACCGAACCUCAAUGGAAAAUUCUUCGUUGAAUCUGCCUACCAUCUUGCAACCCAACUCACUGAUAUGCCAACCAUGAUGUUCGCUGGAAAAAGCUUUGGAUGUCAAAUACCCUAAAAGGAUUAAGAGAAUUACCUCCUCAGCUGCUUCGCUCAUAUCGAAGAGUGGUGUGGGCAUGGGAGGUUCAUGGACAAGAGAAUCGUCUAAUACAGGUUUCUUUUGAAUGUGCUGAUACUAUAUAGUUCAUCAAUAAGGCAAGGCCAUGGAUUACAUUGAUGGUCGUUGGCUGGGAAUAUGGUGCAAACAUGUUGACGAAGUACUUGGCAGAAGCUGGAGAGAAUACACCGCUUAUAGCUGCCACGUGCAUAGACAAUCCAUUUGACUUAGAGGAGGCUACAAGGUCCUCUCCUUAUCACAUGGCCAUUGAUCAGAAGCUCAUUGGUGGACUGAUAGAUAUUCUAAGAUCUAAUAAGGAACUAUUUCAAGACAAAGCAAAAGGGUUUGACAUGGAGAAGGUUUUAUUGGCAAAGUCUUUUCAUGAUUUUGAAAAAGCAAUAUCUAUGGUAUCUUAGCACAAGGGACGUGGUUGGGAAUGUGAGCAAGCAAAGGAAGAUUUAUAAAACUCAAUGUUUUAUGUUGAAUAAAUAUAUGAUGUACUCUUCUAUAUAAUGCAGAUUUGUUGUAUUAUGUUCUUUCUCUACUCUUUUUGAGUCAUAGCAAAAGAAUUUGACAUUGGUAACUAUAUUCUAUUUAUUUAUUAUGAA
Quercus lobata is the source of this 788-nucleotide long non-coding RNA. RefSeq lists it as uncharacterized. The record is from RefSeq and is a predicted model, not a curated record. The transcript has 4 exons. NCBI's taxonomy places the organism in Eukaryota, Viridiplantae, Streptophyta, Magnoliopsida, Fagales, Fagaceae.